This 253-nucleotide ribosomal RNA is filed under the name uncultured bacterium. RNAcentral's name for it is "partial 16S ribosomal RNA". It matches the Rfam family "Bacterial small subunit ribosomal RNA", at positions 524 to 776 of the family's 1533-position model. The record is from RNAcentral.
GACAGAGGGGGCAAGCGUUGCUCGGAAUCACUGGGCGUAAAGCGCACGUAGGCGGGUCCUUAAGUCAGGGGUGAAAUCCCGGAGCUCAACUCCGGAACUGCCUUUGAUACUGGGGAUCUUGAGUCCGGAAGAGGUGAGUGGAACUCCGAGUGUAGAGGUGAAAUUCGUAGAUAUUCGGAAGAACACCAGUGGCGAAGGCGGCUCACUGGUCCGGUACUGACGCUGAGGUGCGAAAGCGUGGGGAGCAAACAGG